This is a long non-coding RNA of Paramisgurnus dabryanus, 639 nucleotides long. RefSeq lists it as uncharacterized. NCBI's taxonomy places the organism in Eukaryota, Metazoa, Chordata, Actinopteri, Cypriniformes, Cobitidae. The record is from RefSeq and is a predicted model, not a curated record.
UCUACGAGUCAUUAAAUCGCGGUGCGAAAAUGCCACCACAUGACCUAAUGGCGGCAACCCGCUGCCUUUUUGGCUUUAACUAACAAAUAUGCAGCGCAAAGGAGAAGCAGAGAGAGAGACAGACGCAAGAUGUUGCAAAAUCACAGAAAUAUUCGCCAAGAAGGGAGCAGGUCCAUUACCUAAGCCUCCUCUGAGGCAAAACACCUGGGGAUGCCAUGUGCAAGGUCUUGCAAACAAUUGGAAAGAACAGUGUUUGGUAUUAAAACAGCAUGAAAGGAAAAAAGGGGAAAGGAAAUUUGGAGAGCUAAACAUUUGCAGCGUGAUCAUUCAGCCCUGCCAAAAGAUCCACCCAAAAGUGCCAGUUAAGGUGUAAGAAGAGUGCAUUGCAGACACCUUGAAGUAUGUUCCUCAUCGUGAUUCAAGAAUGGAGCAUGAAGACACAGGCCAUGGACAGUGCUAGUUUUCAGCACUCACAUCCCACACACACACACAAAUUUAUAUAAGUUCUCACUGAUUCAAUGUUUUUAUUAAAGCUAGUUACAUUUUGCUGUAAAUUUAUAUUUUAUUGUCGUAAGUAUUAUGUUAUUAAGUAUUAUGUUACAUUUUAUAUCAUUUUUAUCUGUUAAUGAGUUACGUUGC